UUUCCUCUUUUCCAGAAUUGCCUAGGAGAAUCCACAGCUGGAAACUUAGAUCAUUUUUAGAGCCCUCCAGCUACUGGGCCAUCUACACUCGUAAAGACUUUCUGAAAGGCACAGACAGCAUCAUCUCCUCGGAAGCAGCAAUGCAUUUCUGCCACCUGAAUUCCGCCACUUCACACUCAGUCUCUACAAGAUGCAUCGGGAUAGAUUUGAUGAUUAACUUUGUGGGGAAUAGAGUUCAUAUACAAUGAGACUAUUCUUUGUCAUUUCAUCCAGUGGUGUACUACAGAUUUUAGUGUACCAAGAUAAUUGCCCCAAGACAACAUUUCAUAGAGCCACAGCACUUGCUGGCCAGAGAUGGGGAUAGGUGGAAUAGAGGAUUGGGCAUUUGAGUGAGAUAGAAGGAAGAGAUCAAGUCCAACCUCUCUGGUCUCAGUUCUUGAAAGGUAUCAUUGGGACCUGGAAGGAAGCAAAACUGUAUGAUUCCCAGUGGUGCCUGAAGAGAGAGCACAUGAUCCCAGGUGGUGCUGCGAGUAGGAGGUUGGGAGAGGGGAUAGGGUUAGAAGAUGGGGUCUGAUCCCACGUGGGCCAAUCAGUGUCAAGGGAUGCUGCAUGAGCUUGGUCCAACCCCAUAAGUCAGAGGUGGAUGUGAUGGGCAUAAUGGGCAUGAUGGGCAUCCCCCAAUCCACACAGAAUCUGCUGACAAUUUGGUAUUUCAAGGGUGACCUUGCUCUUUGCCACCUGAGAGAUUAAAAAAUACAGCAAACAAGAGGACUUGCCACCCACCAUGGAGAAAACAAUUUUGUUUUCACUUCUCUAAGCCCAAAAGAGCAAAAACAGGGAAGAAGUGGGGCUGGGGUUGUGGCUCAGGGGUAGAGCGCUCGCCUAGCAUGCUUGAGGCACUGAGUUCAAUCCUCAGCCCCACAUAAAUGCAAAAUAAAGAUAUUGUGUCUACUUAAAACUAAAAAUAUAAAUAUUUUUAAAAAAAAACAGGGAAGAAAGAGGCUGGAAAAGAGCAUGUCCUGGGAAUUGACUACAGGUACUGCAGAGGGAGAGAGCACCUGUAACCUGAUAUGGGAAAAUGUGUUUUGCUGCAAAAUCACAUAUUUGUGGAAGUUUACAUUGAAUAUUUUUGAAACAGUAUAAAGCCCAUAUAUUUUAAGUGUAUUCUAGUUGUAAAGUAUGUGCACAUCUAUGUUGAAUGGCUUUCUCAUGUAAAAAUGCUGUACUUCACAAAUUUCUUAUCUGUAAGAAACCGGACAUUCUACAGAACAUCUCUUUUAUUAUUUUCUGACGAAGCAGCUGUGUGUUGAACUGCCACCGUAUUAAAGUUGUCAUAUUUCUUAUUUCACGCUUUUGUGUAUUUUACACAAUACGCUUUAUCCUGAUGCCACAAUAUUUAGACUCUGAAUUUCUCCUCUCUGUGUGUCUUGUUAUGUAUAAGUUUAAAAUAUGUAAAUUGC
Molecule: long non-coding RNA, 1460 nt
Filed under: Marmota monax (woodchuck)
Lineage: Eukaryota; Metazoa; Chordata; Mammalia; Rodentia; Sciuridae
Rfam family: tRNA (bases 853-921)
Source: RNAcentral